This 200-nucleotide ribosomal RNA is filed under the name uncultured bacterium. Its description in RNAcentral is "partial 16S ribosomal RNA". It matches the Rfam family "Bacterial small subunit ribosomal RNA", at positions 29 to 257 of the family's 1533-position model. The record is from RNAcentral.
AACGAACGCUGGCGGCAGGCUUAACACAUGCAAGUCGAGCGCCCCGCAAGGGGAGCGGCAGACGGGUGAGUAACGCGUGGGAACAUACCCCUUACUACGGAACAACUCCGGGAAACUGGAGCUAAUACCGUAUGUGCCCUUCGGGGGGAAAGAUUUAUCGGUAAAGGAUUGGCCCGCGUUGGAUUAGCUAGUUGGUGGGG